RNAcentral lists this transfer RNA (89 nucleotides) under Leptolyngbya sp. FACHB-16. It matches the Rfam family "tRNA". Rfam says of the family: Transfer RNA (tRNA) molecules are approximately 80 nucleotides in length. Their secondary structure includes four short double-helical elements and three loops (D, anti-codon, and T loops). RNAcentral also lists the same sequence under 4 other names. Lineage: Bacteria; Bacillati; Cyanobacteriota; Cyanophyceae; Leptolyngbyales; Leptolyngbyaceae. The record is from Rfam by way of RNAcentral.
GGAGAGGUGGCUGAGUGGUCGAAAGCGGCAGAUUGCUAAUCUGUUGUACGUUUUAGGGCGUACCGAGGGUUCGAAUCCCUCCCUCUCCG